Molecule: ribosomal RNA, 428 nt
Filed under: uncultured prokaryote
Description: bacterial SSU rRNA
Rfam family: Bacterial small subunit ribosomal RNA
Source: RNAcentral
UGGGGAAUUUUGCGCAAUGGGCGAAAGCCUGACGCAGCAACGCCGCGUGAGUGAUGAAGGCUUUCGGGUCGUAAAGCUCUGUCAAGGGGAAAGAAGUGUAUUGUGGUUAAUACCCAUGAUGCUUGACGGUACCCCUAAAGGAAGCACCGGCUAACUCCGUGCCAGCAGCCGCGGUAAUACGGGGGGUGCAAGCGUUGUUCGGAAUUAUUGGGCGUAAAGAGCGUGUAGGCGGCGUGAUAAGUCAGAUGUGAAAUCCCUGGGCUCAACCCAGGAAGUGCAUUUGAAACUGUCUUGCUUGAGUACGGGAGAGGGAAGAGGAAUUCCUGGUGUAGAGGUGAAAUGCGUAGAUAUCCGGAGGAACACCAGUGGCGAAAGCGGCCUCCUGGGCCAUUUCUGACGCUAAGACGCGAAAGCUAGGGUAGCAAACG